RNAcentral lists this ribosomal RNA (531 nucleotides) under uncultured bacterium. Its description in RNAcentral is "partial 16S ribosomal RNA". It matches the Rfam family "Bacterial small subunit ribosomal RNA", at positions 355 to 874 of the family's 1533-position model. The record is from RNAcentral.
UGGGGAAUAUUGCACAAUGGGCGCAAGCCUGAUGCAGCCAUGCCGCGUGUGUGAAGAAGGCCUUCGGGUUGUAAAGCACUUUCAGCGAGGAGGAAGGUGGUGAGCUUAAUACGCUCAUCAAUUGACGUUACUCGCAGAAGAAGCACCGGCUAACUCCGUGCCAGCAGCCGCGGUAAUACGGAGGGUGCAAGCGUUAAUCGGAAUUACUGGGCGUAAAGCGCACGCAGGCGGUUUGUUAAGUCAGAUGUGAAAAUCCCCGGGCUCAACCUGGGAACUGCAUUUGAAACUGGCAAGCUAGAGUCUCGUAGAGGGGGGUAGAAUUCCAGGUGUAGCGGUGAAAUGCGUAGAGAUCUGGAGGAAUACCGGUGGCGAAGGCGGCCCCCUGGACGAAGACUGACGCUCAGGUGCGAAAGCGUGGGGAGCAAAACAGGAUUAGAUACCCUGGUAAGUCCACGCUGUAAAACGAUGUCGAUUUGGAGGUUGUGCCCUUGAGGCGUGGCUUCCGGAGCUAACGCGUUAAAUCGACCGCCU